GUUCUGCCAAACACUGUGUUGUUAUAUUGGUGUCAAGCUUAUACAACAUACACAACACAGUCACACAGACUUAAGAAACAUUCACAGAGGACAACUGUUAGAUGACUACAUAUUCAGUAUGCAUAGAGCAGAUAAAGCUAAAAGCUAGAUGGCCCGAGGAAAGAAAGAACUUCUUCAGCCCGUCUGUUGAGCAUGCUAGUGACAAGAGUCUGCCACUAAACUUGCUCUUCCGUGUAGUGAGUGGGGGUCAUUUUGUGGUUUGUGUAUGUGUUUUUUUGUUGUGGAGAAAUAGAAACACAUUUAUAUGUAGGGAUAUUUCCAUUUUUUUCUUAUUUGAAAUUAUUAGGACAUGAAUACUCUCUGACUCUUACUUUGACAGAGCUCUGGACUAUUUGCAGGGAGUUGGUGACUUGUCCCAGCAGAUGACCCGGAUUUGGACCUCUUUGGGGUCCAAAGAUCUUUAUCUACAUGCAAAUCAACAUUUAAAGCAGAUAGAGAAUGGUUGAACAGGGCAUUGAUCUCUGUUCUGUCUUUUUAAUAAAAGUAUAUGGUGUUAGUGUUUGUAUGUGUAACAUGAAGGAAAAACACUGACUUUGUUGUUGUUCUCCUUCUCCCAUGCCAUUCCUGUUCAUCCUCAGUUUGGAGGUCCGAUGUGCUAAAUGUCAGAGCCUUCUUCAGGAUUUGACGUGCCUCCCUGAGAGGAAAAGCCACAAAACCUUCCCUGUGGGGCAGGGAGAUACAUUUCCCAUCAAGCUCUGAAACAUUGGCAGCCUUGAUGAUCUCAGAUUUUUCUGAAAUGAUGUAAAUAUUCACUGAAGAUGUUAUCACCAGUCGAUGUUCUGAGAGUCUUAAAGUGCUGCCAGAUAAUUUUCAUAUGGGAAGGCAGAGAAGGAGUCAAGGCAACCAUGCUGCUGAACUUCACCUGCCAGAUGGGUUAUGCAGUGUGUACAUUAUACACAAUGUUGUGUCUCCCAUAAAGUGUAGCAAAGUGCUGCACAAACGACUUCAGUAAAGUGUCAGCAUAAUCAGUGCGGUAGGAAAAUGUAGGGCUUGCUAAGAUGGAGAUGCCAGAGAAGAGAAGCAUAAAAUUCUGAUACAGGUCUUUGUCCAGAAAAUUGGCCAGCAUUACAGGUCCAGUGUACAAAAGAGAUUGCAGCUUUCUGGCAAACUCCACCAGAAUAUAAGGCCUCAUGGAUACCAAUUUGUUCAACUAUAGUUGCAGGGACACGGACAGUCAGAGGACCACGAAGCCACAUUUUGAGUAAGCGCCCAACGAUACCUAAGCACACAAGGUGCAUGUAAUCUAGGGGAAACUGUGACACCAUGCCAACCCCAGUACCCUCAGAUGCAUGUGGCCCUUCAUGGUGAUGUAUCUCAUCUAACCUGUCAUUGAAAGACUCAUCCGUCCUUAGUGCAUAAUCUUUACAUGGAAAACUCAUGUGGAAAACCUUUGUGUGGUAUAUGACUUUCUCAUGCCAAGUAAAAUGUAAACGUCAGACGAUGUUAUAGGGAACAUGCUUAAAGUUGCUGCCGAAACAAGGCUUUGUUGUUGCAAAGUGCCGGACGAGCAGAAAAUUAUUAUUUUUGAAACCGGCACAGGGCAGAAUAAAAGCUGUAACGUUACAUACCAGCCUCCUACAGUUCUGCAGCUUAAGACACAGUAGUCCAGUGUGUCGGAUACACAUUUCCAUGUUGUAAGAUUUAAAUAAGACAACAUAUCUAUCGCAAAUGUAAACACCUCCAUCAACGCAACAUCAUUCCCGUAUUGCCAAAGAGCUGCAUGGACACACAAAUCAGAUCCAAAAUGGCCAACUUCUGGAAUGAUGAUGCGUCGUGAAAACUCUCUAUCAAUAACGUUAGCACCAAGCUAGCACCAAGUUACUGCAAUGAAUUUAGGCUACAUAAUACAUUCCAAAAUUAAAACAACUUAACAUAGGACGUCCGGGAUAGAGCUCGAAUAUGGGGAAUGGUAAUUACAAUCAGGCACUGGUCUACUUUAUGCUACACAGGCUAUUCUGAAGCCUACUGUAAAGCCUUAUAAAAUGGCAACCAAAAUCCACGAACAUUUUACCAAAACCUUCGACAAAGCAGGUUACACCGAUAGAUUAUAUUUCAAUGACAGAUAUAACAUUAAUAAAAUAUAUCUUAACGUUACACUUACUUGGCAGCCGAACUUCACACGAAGGAAAUCCCGACUAAUUCCCACACGGCGUAUGUUAUCUAAGGGAGAUCCGUAUGUGAUCCGUUCUGGGUCCGCCGAUUAAAAGCGCAGGUGGGGCCGAUCCUGGAGGCGUGGACGAUCCUGUUAGCACAGCGAAAACGAAUCUGACAGUCAGGCGGAUCUGGUGGCUUGAGGGCAGGUCUGCCACGGACUCCUUUGCUGUGUGGGUAUUUAACCCACAAUGUCCAAUCCUUAACCUAGUUAAAAUUAUUUCUUCACUUCGAUUCCUUCCAGUGAUCUUACCUGUCCCAACCUUCUGUUGUAUCCUGUAUAAAUGUCUCCCUUUCUCCUCUCUAUCCCAACUACUUUGCCACUUUUUCAUAAUUUCCAUCCAGAUUUUUGUUUUAGCUUCUGCUUUACUUAUUGAGAUUGAUAUUUCAACAUCUUCUCUUUUACUGGCUUGUUUUGCCAAACCAUCUACCAUUUCAUUUCCUUUAACACCCACAUGAGCUGGUACCCAUGUAAAUUUUACCUUCACCCCCCAAUUGAGAAAUCCUUGAGUAACAUUCUAGUACCUCAUAUACUAUGUCUUGUAUUGAUUGUGACUUAAAUGAUUGCAAACUCUUUAGGACUGCACUAGAGUCUGAGCAAAUUACAACUUUAUCUGGUCUUUUUUCUUCUACCCACUGUAGAGCCAACCAGAUACCCAUCAAUUCCACUGUAAAUACAGAUACUUGAUCAGACAGUCUCUUUAGGAAUAAAGCCCUAUUCCCAUUCCUUACUACUUCUCUACAUUCCUCUGUCCACCAAGGAACCACUUUCCUUCUCCUUAUUCCAGAGCUCUUAGGAAUAGUUUCAUCUGCCACCCCUUUAAUAAUUUCCUAGAAACUACUGUAUUCUCUAUCAAUAUCCAUAUCUCUAACCUCCCCAUCUAACCUUUCCUCACAUAGCUCCUUAAAUUUUGCCCAGUUUGCCUUACCAAACACCCAUCUCUUUCCUCCCUCUUCAGACUGUCUUUCCAUCCUCUUUUUAAUAGAACAUAAUAUAGGAAAAUGAUCACUUCGUACCGUUGAUUCCUCCCAUACCUCCCAUUCACAUAAUCUUGCUAUAUGAUUAGAAGUAAUUGUAAGAUCUAACGCUGACUCAUUUCCUGAUACCAUAUCAAUUCUUGUUCCUCUACCAUCAUUAAGACACACCAGCCCUUUUAAAUCCAACAACAACUCUAUCACCUGACCAUUUCUGUCCAUCUUCUUCCUACCCCAAAGUGGGCUGUGAGUGUUAAAGUCCCCACACCAUUCUACCUUUUGUCUAUCCUGUCCCUCAACCUCUUCCAUUGAAUUUAAGUCCAAUCUCCUACAUGGAUUGUAAAAGUUAAUUAUUGUUAUACUUUCCAUCCCUAUCCACACUUCCACCACCACAUAUUCCAACUCCUUUCCCAAUCCCAGAAUCCUAUAUGGAAGCCCCUGUCUAAUAAAUGUAACACACCCUCCCCCACCUCCUUCUUUUCUAUCUCGACGAGCCGCCACAUAACCCUGUAUCACAAAAUCUAAAUUUGGACUAAGCCAUGUUUCCUGAAUACAAAUAACAUCUGGAUUUUUCACCAUUCCAUCUAUAAAAGAUUUAAACUCUUGUCCAUUUGCUAUUAGGCUUCGGGCAUUCCAUUGUAUUAUUAACAACAUAAUUAACCAACCAACCCAUGUUUCCUGACUAGACUGUUGUUUAAGAUCAUCUCUGACUAUUUCCCAUGUCAGUCCUGUUAUAUCCAGAUGUCGUAUCCAGACUGCUGAUUGGUCAGAGAGAAUCGUCACUAUUCACUGCGUCAUCAUUGCACGCGCCAGACGGAGUAUCCUGAAUAACCCCACCAGCAGUGUUUCGUUUUGCUGCCCUCAACCUCUCCAGAAACAACGUUUGUCUUCUUGCUGUGAGAAACAGCCACAUCCCGAGGAUCAAAAACAGCAUACACUCGAUUUCCUCCAUUGUCCUGUGUGUGUGGGUAGCGGGUGUGUUUCGCGUAGAAGAUUAUGUCAAGGCAGUUUCCAGUGGCGUCGCUAUGACAACCAGGUACUAUUGUGGAGGUAUAAUCUGCAAUGGAAAAUGGAGCGAAAAGCGAGCCGAGUCGAGUCGAGUUGAGCUGGUACUGGUAAUGGAAAAGGGCCAUUAGUUUCCUUCCCUGAUCAAUUACAACCCUGUCAACCUGAAAUUGCCCCAAUCUUUCCAGCUUGAGGGCCUGAUCUCUCUGACCCACAUCUUUACACAUAAUCAGUAAACUUCCAUUUCUUAGCACCCUUGCUGCUAUUAUAUCUCCAACCGCUUUCUUUAAUGCCACAGGCAAUCUAACCAGAUUUACACCUUUCACUCCACCUCCAUCCUUAAACUUAAUGACUGCUUUAAACUCCUCAUCAUCUCGUUCUUCUAAAGUACACACAUCACUCUCAUGUCCACUCAAAUCCGAGUUACUGAUAAUACCUAGUGUAUUUGCCUUCCUUUUCUUUUUCUUUUUCUGAUUUUCAUUUUUACUCCUUAUCUGCUUUCCCUUACCACUUUUCUCCUUAUCUCAUCCUCUUCCAUCUCCUUCUCCCAUCUCUGGUCCAGUCACAGUACAGCUGUGCCAAACCGCCAUCUCUCUCUCUCAAAAUCCCGAUUGUUCGCUCUCUCGCGACUCACGCCACACCGAACCAAAGCGGAAGUCCCAACUCCAACCUUCCCCUCGGCUCCUGUCGAGUUCCGCCAGACCACCUAAUGUUCUCUCUUGCCUUACCUCCGUUAAAUGAGAAACGAACCAGGGAAAAAAAUAAAAUAAAAAAUAAAAAAUUCACAUGUCAAAGAAGGUGGAGUUUCAGAACACACCCACCGAUUGCGUAACCGCCACUGACCAAUAGAAACUCAAAGGUGUUUAGGAGCUGAAGCGAACUCCCCCAGAAAGUUUGCUUUGGUCAGCUGUUUUGAACUGUCGAAACAAACUCAAAGUGAACUUGAUUUCAGCCUG
Long non-coding RNA from Cyprinus carpio (common carp), 5147 nucleotides. RefSeq lists it as uncharacterized. The transcript is spliced from 3 exons. Lineage: Eukaryota; Metazoa; Chordata; Actinopteri; Cypriniformes; Cyprinidae. The record is from RefSeq and is a predicted model, not a curated record.